RNAcentral lists this long non-coding RNA (1260 nucleotides) under Pongo abelii (Sumatran orangutan). RNAcentral describes it as "lncRNA (ENSPPYG00000040036.1)". The record is from RNAcentral. Lineage: Eukaryota; Metazoa; Chordata; Mammalia; Primates; Hominidae.
CAGAAUUCUGGCUCGGAGGGCCGGUGUACAGUACUUUAAAUAUGGCAGUAGUUGUGUCUGAAAUUAUCGUGUUUUUCUGUUUAACCUGUUUCUUGUCUCUUCAUCGCCUUUCUAUAUAAUGUAAGACCAGAGGCUUUAUGUAGUGAAUUCCCUGUAACCCCGGCUCCUUGGACAAAUAGGUAUUCAAGUAUUUGUUUCUUGAAGUAAUCCUCUGAAUUAACCUGCUCACAUGUAAAAAAUAAUAAGCGGCUGGGAAACGCCAGUAAUAACCGACAAACGUUUGUUAGACAUUUACAGUGUGCCAAGGACUGCAUUUUACGUGUAUUAUCACAUUCCUCAGAACAGCCUAAUGAGGACAUAUACUCUCUCUUUAGGUGUAGCUUCCUCCCCUCUGAGAUGGAAAUUAUAAGCCAUCUCGCAGUGUUGUGAGGAUUGGAGCUCAAGUGUGUAAAAUGCCUCCUCUGUGGGCUCUCCUUGGAGAGUUCUUGUAUCCUGUUGAUUGUCAUCAAAGGAAAAAAGUGGCAGGAUGAUGGCAUAAGUGGGAAGAACCUUGAGUUUAAUAGUCUGAAAAAGUGGUUACAGGUUCUUGCUGUGCUUUUCCUCUCUGUGGUUUUCUGAACCCAUCGCCUAACCUGAAGCCUUAAACUUCAUCUGCAAAAAUGUUUUGUGCCUCUGAAGCAGAACUCUUGAGAUGGAAGGAUUGUCAUCUGAGGAAAAAAAAUCAAGAUUAAGAGAGGAGGAACUAGAAUGAGAUUCACAUACCCUCUCUCCUCCAAGGGAAGGAGAGAGUGGUGUUGCCUGCCCACUCCUUCCUGGGCAGAACGUUUGUAGCAUGGAACAUUGGAGAAUUUGCAGUCUGCUGACUUUCUGAUUUAGGAGGUUGAUGGGGAGGCCUUAUAAUUUGCAUUUCUAACAAGUUCUGAGGUGAUGCUUCAAGUAUGUCCAGGCAGAAGGGCCGCCUCACAGAGAUUUCUGCCAUACCACAUGGGAAUUGAAGUCACAGACAUUUCCAACCCUCAAGCCUGAAACCAAAAGACUGAAAACCAACACUACAGUGGACAAAGAACAUCUCAGAACUUCUGUGGGGACCAGUGACACAAGGACCUAAGGUGUCUCUCUUCUCAUCUUGGCACUUCAGAAGUCUCCCCAGUCUUGACAAAGCCCUGGAGAAAGGGCCGGGCCUCCCGUUGAUAAGAUUAUCACUACAGAUAAAUGGAGGUUUCAAAUUGAAAGAAAGGAGGAGGGCCUCCUGUUGAUAAG